This 445-nucleotide ribosomal RNA is filed under the name uncultured bacterium. Its description in RNAcentral is "partial 16S ribosomal RNA". It matches the Rfam family "Bacterial small subunit ribosomal RNA", at positions 354 to 796 of the family's 1533-position model. The record is from RNAcentral.
GUGAGGAAUAUUGGUCAAUGGGCGAGAGCCUGAACCAGCCAAGUCGCGUGAAGGAAGAAGGAUCUAUGGUUCGUAAACUUCUUUUGCAGGGGAAUAAAGUGCAGGACGUGUCCUGUUUUGUAUGUACCCUGAGAAUAAGGAUCGGCUAACUCCGUGCCAGCAGCCGCGGUAAUACGGAGGAUCCGAGCGUUAUCCGGAUUUAUUGGGUUUAAAGGGUGCGUAGGUAGUUUGAUAAGUCAGCGGUGAAAGUUUGCAGCUUAACUGUAAAAAUGCCGUUGAAACUGUCGGACUUGAGUGUAAAUGAGGUAGGCGGAAUGCGUGGUGUAGCGGUGAAAUGCAUAGAUAUCACGCAGAACUCCGAUUGCGAAGGCAGCUUACUAAGCGAUAAUUGACGCUGAGGCACGAAAGCGUGGGGAGCAAACAGGAUUAGAUACCCGAGUAGUCC